UACGUAGGGUGCGAGCGUUGUCCGGAAUUAUUGGGCGUAAAGGGCUCGUAGGCGGUUUGUCGCGUCGGGAGUGAAAUCCACUGGCUUAACUGGUGGCUUGCUUUCGAUACGGGCAGACUGGAGGUAUGCAGGGGGAGAACGGAAUUCCUGGUGUAGCGGUGAAAUGCGCAGAUAUCAGGAGGAACACCGGUGGCGAAGGCGGAUCUCUGGGCC
RNAcentral lists this ribosomal RNA (213 nucleotides) under uncultured bacterium. RNAcentral's name for it is "partial 16S ribosomal RNA". It matches the Rfam family "Bacterial small subunit ribosomal RNA", at positions 524 to 735 of the family's 1533-position model. The record is from RNAcentral.